Molecule: ribosomal RNA, 377 nt
Filed under: uncultured bacterium
Lineage: Bacteria
Description: bacterial SSU rRNA
Rfam family: Bacterial small subunit ribosomal RNA
Source: RNAcentral
UAAUACAGAGGGUGCAAGCGUUAAUCGGAAUUACUGGGCGUAAAGGGUGCGUAGGUGGUUAAUUAAGUCAGAUGUGAAAUCCCAAGGCUUAACCUUGGAAUUGCAUUUGAUACUGGUUAGCUAGAGUACAGAAGAGGGAAGUGGAAUUUCCGGUGUAGCGGUGAAAUGCGUAGAUAUCGGAAGGAACAUCAGUGGCGAAGGCGACUUCCUGGUCUGUUACUGACACUGAGGCACGAAAGCGUGGGGAGCGAACAGGAUUAGAUACCCUGGUAGUCCACGCCGUAAACUAUGAGAACUAGAUGUUAGGGGGCUUAGACCUCUUAGUAUCGCAGCAAACGCGUUAAGUUCUCCGCCUGGGGAGUACGGCCGCAAGGUUA